Molecule: non-coding RNA, 131 nt
Filed under: Ruminococcus sp. YE71
Lineage: Bacteria; Bacillati; Bacillota; Clostridia; Eubacteriales; Oscillospiraceae
Description: Bacterial small subunit ribosomal RNA
Rfam family: Bacterial small subunit ribosomal RNA
Source: Rfam by way of RNAcentral
UUUAUUAAGAGUUUGAUCCUGGCUCAGGACGAACGCUGGCGGCACGCUUAACACAUGCAAGUCGAACGGUGAAAGUACUUCGGUACUGGAUCAGUGGCGGACGGGUGAGUAACACGUGAGCAAUCUGCCUU